Long non-coding RNA from Pygocentrus nattereri (red-bellied piranha), 742 nucleotides. RefSeq lists it as uncharacterized. NCBI's taxonomy places the organism in Eukaryota, Metazoa, Chordata, Actinopteri, Characiformes, Serrasalmidae. The record is from RefSeq and is a predicted model, not a curated record. The transcript is spliced from 3 exons.
AUCAAGCGGCAGCAGCUGUUUGGCCUGUUCCAUAAGACAGGAGAACCCAAACAAACCCUGGGCUCGCAGGCAGCUUGGUCACUCCUAAACGCCUGCCACAGGGUCCGAGUGGACAGGAGCACCAUGCAAAGCCCAUGGUGGAGGGACAUGACUGCAGUACAGCACAGAUCUGCCUUAAGCAGCACUCAUUCAACGAAUGUGUGGCACCGUUAGCUUGAAGCUAACACAACACAGGAAGUUGCAAUGAGGUGCUAGCAGAAAAAAAGCAUCCUUGCAGUAAUAAUUUGCUGCACAGAGCACAGCUAGGCCUCCAGUACACAAUUAGAAGGCUGAGACGCCCAUGCCGAUGCUUGCUGACCUGGUUUCCAGCAGAGUGCAUUCCACAGCUCCAGUGCUGAGGCAUGCCUUUCGUUAUCAUGCUGAAUUUCAGCCUCCAUAGUCUCCACAAGGCCAAAGCAGAAGAGAUCUGUUCCAUUGACUUUUGUGGUAACAGCGAUACUGAAGUACAGGCUAAAGCACUAAAUGCCUAAAAAACCCAUUCAAAGCAUUUACUGAGGACAAUGGUCAUUAGAAGGACUGUCUAGCAGCAUCUAACCACCAAACGCAACACCAGAAAAGUUGGCACCCUCUUUGAUCAGCAAGCCAUAACGUAUGUCAAGCCAUGUUAUUGCUGUCGGAAGAAAAACCUUGGAUCUCAAUUUUUGUUGUUUUUCAGGUUUUGACAUAAUUUGAAAUCACCUGU